This 628-nucleotide long non-coding RNA is filed under the name Chrysemys picta bellii (western painted turtle). RNAcentral describes it as "lncRNA (ENSCPBG00000017085.1)". The record is from RNAcentral. Lineage: Eukaryota; Metazoa; Chordata; Testudines; Emydidae.
UAUAAAAGAAAUGCACUUCUGCUCUGUUUCUCAACUCUGCUUUUUGUCCCACACAGGUAAGGGGGUGGCUCAAAUUGCAUAACCCAUUCGCUAAGAGGAUGAGUGACUGAGUCAUUUCACAAAGAGAGCUGACCCCUUAGUACUCUGAUCACAAAGCCUAGAGGUUGACAAUAACAUAUGUUUUGUAAAUGUAAUGCCAAACAAACAAAGAAGAGGAACUCCCUCUUGCUGAACGGGACUGCUGUUUUCUUCCUCCUUAUUACAGUUCCUUUAGGUGAAAGGCCCAUGGCAUGCUGUAUGACAACUCCUGUUCACAUGGGAAUUGGAGAACAAGGCCAGGUCUUGGAUAUGCCCAUAUGGCACUGACUAAACCAACAGUUGUUACAUAUUUGCAUCCAAAAGCAAUAUUUGGCUUCAUAUUUUGAAACCUUAUUGCAAACGGAGAACGUGAAUUUUCUGUUUGUUUUUUUAUCCCCAUGCUCUGUUCCCAGAGCAAUGCAAAGCUAAAAGAAUUUCAAGACGAGAGGCCUCAGUCUCUUCCCAUUCACCCAGCUGUUAAUCAGGAGUAAAUGGGGUUACACUGCUUUAAAAGUGUGAUGCUUCCCUGAAAAGUGAUAAGGUAAAAAUG